Peromyscus maniculatus bairdii (prairie deer mouse) is the source of this 3060-nucleotide long non-coding RNA. RefSeq lists it as uncharacterized. NCBI's taxonomy places the organism in Eukaryota, Metazoa, Chordata, Mammalia, Rodentia, Cricetidae. The record is from RefSeq and is a predicted model, not a curated record.
GUGAGGGCAUGGCCUGUGAGGUGACUGUGUGGCUCAGUGAGGGCGUGGUCUGUGAGGUGGCUGUGUGGCUCAGUGAGAGCAAGCACAAUCAUGAGUCCAUGAGGGUUGGACUCAGGAGCUCUCUCUCUCUCUCUCUCUCUCUCUCUCUCUCUCUCUCUGGUCAGUGUAGGUCAAUAGAGGCCACUGGCAAUCUAGGAUGGCUCUGGAUGGCCAGUGUCAAGGUCGAAGGAAACAGAGUUGAUCUGAGCUGCAGACGGCAAAGACACAGAGAAAAGGAGACAGACAAGGAGGAGAUGUGUGUUUCCUUGCGAAGCAAGGAGAGAUGGGAAGCUGCUGAAGCUGAGCUCUUGGGGAGACAUGGGCAUAUCCACUGUGACUCCCAGCUGUCACCUGAUUUGCUUACCAAGCUCCUGUGAGACUUCCUCACACGGCUGGUUGGUCAGCAGGAUGUAGCCUCACCCGACAGAGGCUAAGUGUCUCAGCCAUGGCACUCGCUGGAAAGUCUUCCCUGAUGGGCACUGUGGAGGGGCUGCAGCGGCUGUCGGCUAGUGUUGGGGGACAGAGGGACAGAGGGACAGACAACAUUACUACCAAAGUCUGCCCAAGACCAGUCUGAGAAAAGUCAUACCGUGGUCAGUUGACUUACUCUGGACCUGCGACGAUGGUCUGACGCAUAAAAACCCACUAAGAAAAUCCGUUGUAAUGAUAGAGGGAAGAGAAGGCUGGGUCAUCCCAGCAGCAGCUGAAAAACACAUGUAUGAUCAUGACUCAGUGAUAACUAGAGACCAGAGACAAGAGAAACUUCAGGUGGUAAGGCACAGCCAGGAUAAGAUCGUCUAAUAUGAUAUCCACACCAAGGACUGGACGUUUUGUAAGUCUAAAUGAGGGAGGGUGCAUCGUGACCACUGUGUGCGUGGCCCAGAGAACCCGACCUAUAAAAGAGAUGAACAGCACACACUGUGGGCUGGUCACGUAGCUCUGCUGCAGUACUUGCCCAGCGUGCACCGGGCAUUGAGAUCAUCUCAAGAGCCUUGGGGAAGCAGACAGGGUGGGGCUCAGGGAGAAGAAAAAUCCAUCUAUCUUUGCAAACGACCUGAUAAUAUUGACGGAAGAUUCAAGAAAUUGCCCUUAGAAAAAUCUAUGAUAGCUAUCAAGUCAUCUCACAAAGCUGUAGGCUGUGUGGCUGCAACAGCAACAAACAAUCCAUUGUGGUGCUGCGUUCAAGCCAUGUAAAACUUGAAAAAUAAAGUUUAUAGAAGCACACACCUGAGCAGAAAGCUAAUAAGACAAAGAAAGAAGAGCACAGACACCAGCACUGCUCGGAGAAAUUGCCGAACUAAAUAAGUACUAAGCGGACGAAUAGACGAGUGUGUGAACUGUGUUGGUCAGCAUCUUUAAGAUGCGCCUUUCCUAAGUGGAUGUACAGACAGACAGCCAUCCUCACCACAAACACACGCGCGGGUGUGGGCGCCUGUGUGUGAGCUAACAGACAUACACAUAUGUGCUGGUGCACACCCUUCAUGGACGUGUCCAGACUUUAAGAUCUAGAAGGAGCGGCACCAAGAGAUUCCGAUAUUUGAGGAGGGGUGCGUCUGGAACACCCAGGGUGCUGGGUUAGAAGCUGGACCAUCUUCAUGGUCAAAAGGAAGAUGGCCUCCCAAUAAGUUCUUAGAACCGAAACCAAGCCCAUCUUUACGAGACAGUACCACGGACACAGAACUUCAAAAAGGCAAAAUUUUCCCAUUUUGUCUCUGUCCUCGCUCGCAGCAGCAUGCCUGGUUCUGUGAAUGACACAGGUCAGAGAUAAACAGAAGAUUUUGGACACCAGGCGCCCAGGGAGGAAAGACGCAGACUGAACAAGGGUUGGCUGAGUGCCGAGGACUAGACUGCCCGACUGUCAGCCCGCCAGCUCUAAUUUGCAAUAUGGGGAUCAAGAGAAAGCUCCGGUGAGGAUCUCAUGAGAUAAAGGCCUAGCGGCAGCCGGUCUGCAGACUGAGGUGUGGCUUCCUGAUUUUACACACACUCGGGACACCUUUGAGAGGGUGACAUUCCUCUGCUUUCUUUUGUAUUGCUGUCCCGAGAGAUUAAAUUCUUGCUUUCUUUCCUUGACGAUCCCAGGGAAAAUUGUUUCACCCGGCAUCGCGUAAGCACUAAGGACCGCGGGGCCCUGCUGACUGAAUGGCCUUGAACAUCUCAAGCCCCUCCCCUCGGGGCGGCCCCUCCCAUGACUCCACAUUCAAUGGAUGGAAUCCACGUCUCUCUGCGAGUCUUGCCUCAGCAGAGCCACAAAGGCAUGCAGCGGGAUCCAGCAUCUCACUUUUGUUUUCCCAGCCAUCUUUUGUGGUGUGGCCUGGGAAAAGCCUUAAUGAGCCUACCCCUCCACCACAGAAGGUCUGGUCGGAGGGAGGAGGCAGCUUCUUCCACCUGCGGGAGGGGAGGGAGGGGACGGGGCGGGGGGUGAGGCGGGCAUCCACUCAGGCUCGCUGGAACAAUGCUGCCUUCAGCCGCCAAGGAUGUGGGGAUGCGAGGCAAACAAGACCGCACAAAAGAUUAACUUGAUUCAAGAAAAGAUAUUUCAAAAGCCCAGCGGAGAGGCUAUCCUGCUAAAAUUUCAAGGCCGGCGAAUGUGAAAAUGCAGAGGAGGCCCCCGUGAAGCCUGCCGGGUCCUGAAGGGAGGGCCCUGAAGUCUGAACUGCAGCUAGCAUGGGCUGCUAGGGCCAUGCAUUCUGUCCUCGUGUUCCUAAACACACGUGGAGCGACGGAGUUAAUGUCAAAAGCCCGAGUCAUUGUGGUUUAACCAGCUACAGAGGAUGAAGUCAAUCCAAUCGUGAAAGCUGACAGGGAAGCCCACAUCCCCCCAAACAUGAAAUCCCUCCGUGGGAUAAAUGGGGAAAUGAAGGGUGGGGGCCUGAAAAGUGAAAGCGAGCUUUGAGGAGAGGCAAGAAGUUCAGCAGUCACUGACUGGGUUCCUUUGGGAUGCUGCGAAAUUGCUGAAAUUCAAAUAAAAACAAUCCAUUAUGUUUGCUGAUCUCUAAUUUGCUCCUGGGACAGCAGAAGUGU